CCUGUUAUACGACUAACAGUAGCCUAGGGGUAGUGCAUAACUGGUAACGGUUUUGUGCGAAGCUCCCUGACAAUGUACCUCUGCGAAAGCAACUCGAAACCCGUGAGGGCAAUGAGUAAUCCAUAAACAAUAUGUGGGUUGAG
Molecule: non-coding RNA, 143 nt
Filed under: Vibrio fluvialis
Lineage: Bacteria; Pseudomonadati; Pseudomonadota; Gammaproteobacteria; Vibrionales; Vibrionaceae
Source: RNAcentral